UACGUAGGGCGCAAGCGUUGUCCGGAAUUAUUGGGCGUAAAGAGCUCGUAGGCGGCCUGUUGCGUCCGCUGUGAAAUCCCGGGGCUCAACCCCGGGCGUGCAGUGGAUACGGGCUGGCUGGAGGCAGGCAGGGGAGAACGGAAUUCCCGGUGUAGCGGUGAAAUGCGCAGAUAUCGGGAGGAACACCGGUGGCGAAGGCGGUUCUCUGGGCCUGUACUGACGCUGAGGAGCGAAAGCGUGGGGAGCGAACAGG
This 253-nucleotide ribosomal RNA is filed under the name uncultured bacterium. RNAcentral describes it as "partial 16S ribosomal RNA". It matches the Rfam family "Bacterial small subunit ribosomal RNA", at positions 524 to 776 of the family's 1533-position model. The record is from RNAcentral.